UGGGGAAUAUUGCACAAUGGGCGCAAGCCUGAUGCAGCCAUGCCGCGUGUAUGAAAAAGGCCUUCGGGUUGUAAAGUACUUUCAGCGGGGAGGAAGGGAGUAAAGUUAAUACCUUGGCUCAUUGACGUUACCCGCAGAAGAAGCACCGGCUACUCCCGUUCCAGCAGCCGCGGAAAUACGGAGGGUGCAAGCGUUAAUCGGAAUUACUGGGCGUAAAGCGCACGCAGGCGGUUUGUUAAGUCAGAUGUGAAAUCCCCGGGCUCAACCUGGGAACUGCAUCUGAUACUGGCAAGCUUGAGUCUCGUAGAGGGGGGUAGAAUUCCAGGUGUAGCGGUGAAAUGCGUAGAGAUCUGGAGGAAUACCGGUGGCGAAGGCGGCCCCCUGGACGAAGACUGACGCUCAGGUGCGAAAGCGUGGGGAGCAAACAGG
Molecule: ribosomal RNA, 429 nt
Filed under: Chloroflexota bacterium
Lineage: Bacteria; Bacillati; Chloroflexota
Description: Chloroflexi bacterium partial 16S ribosomal RNA
Rfam family: Bacterial small subunit ribosomal RNA
Source: RNAcentral